AUUGAACGCUGGCGGCAGGCUUAACACAUGCAAGUCGAGCGGGGUGAUGGUGCUUGCACUAUCACUUAGCGGCGGACGGGUGAGUAAAGCUUAGGAAUCUGCCUAUUAGUGGGGGACAACAUCUCGAAAGGGAUGCUAAUACCGCAUACGUCCUACGGGAGAAAGCAGGGGAUCACUUGUGACCUUGCGCUAAUAGAUGAGCCUAAGUCGGAUUAGCUAGUUGGUGGGGUAAAGGCCUACCAAGGCGACGAUCUGUAGCGGGUCUGAGAGGAUGGUCGGCCACACUGGGAGUGGGACACGGCCCAGACUACUACGGGAGGCAGCAGUGGGGAAUAUUGGACAAUGGGGGGAACCCUGAUCCAGCCAUGCCGCGUGUGUGAAGAAGGCCUUAUGGUUGUAAAGCACUUUAAGCGAGGAGGAGGCUCUUUUGGUUAAUACCCAAGAUGAGGACGUUACUCGCAGAAUAAGCACCGGCUAACUCUGUGCCAGCCGCCGCCGUAA
This 501-nucleotide ribosomal RNA is filed under the name uncultured bacterium. RNAcentral describes it as "partial 16S ribosomal RNA". It matches the Rfam family "Bacterial small subunit ribosomal RNA", at positions 30 to 523 of the family's 1533-position model. The record is from RNAcentral.